AAUCCGUCGACUUUAGAAAUCGUGAGA
Molecule: transfer RNA, 27 nt
Filed under: Impatiens minor
Lineage: Eukaryota; Viridiplantae; Streptophyta; Magnoliopsida; Ericales; Balsaminaceae
Description: partial tRNA-Leu
Source: RNAcentral